UAAUUUUUCAAAAAUAGUCUGCGCUUGUUGAUAUGUUUCUGUGCAUGCAGUGCGUCAAAUGAUCUAAAUGUAUCGUAUUAUUCAGAAGUGGCAGGGUUAAGAAUGCAGUUUGCCGGUCAUUUUCAUUGAGCGUCAGUGUUGAUAUUAAUAUGAUACACAGAACUUGAUGAUAGAGGUGAAGGGGGCCCAAGACUUUUUUCCAUAUUAUUAUUUUAUGGAUACCAAGGGUAAUUGCCAAGGGCAAGCGGUAUAUUUUUGACCAGAAUUCAAUCUGGUGGCGUUUUGUGGCCGUCACAUGUUCGGGUUUCGUUCGUAAGCGUGUAGAUUUGUAAAUAGGCCUAACUUAUGCAUCGCCUACUGACCGCACUGACAGUUAUCGCCAUUUCUUCUGUGUUAUUUCUGAAAUCAUUACUAUUUAAAGUUUACAUGUACUAAUCUUCUGACUUUGAUUUUUGUGCAACAAUGUGGCUCAUCCAGGCCAUGGGAAUGGUUAAGUAGAUUUCUCUUAUACAGCGAAAAGAGGGAAUCAAAACAAUGGAAGUAUUCAGAUCGACUCUCUGUAGGCUGCUAGUUAUAGCCCUAGUCUAAAGUGAUCAAUGAUGUUAUGAAAAAAAUCGUAUUUUCGGGAAGAGACAGAAACAUACUUGAUGUUUCCGAAAAGGCCUAAUUAGCACUGACUGAAGUAGCCUAAAUGUGGAUCAUCAGGUUGUUGCUGCUGUCUAUAAAGUUUAUCAUAGCAAGGUGCUUAUCAUGUGUAUUUUUAUUAUUUCCGAAAAAAGAAUCAAUUCAUCAUUUUCCGAUAACUAGAUCUAUGUCCGACUCCUUUCUAAUGAAAACGAGCAAAAGUAAAAUGAGUCUCUCGUCGCGCGCUAUAACGGGGUGUUUGCGGUAUUGUCCUCUCUGGUGAUGAUAAGCUAGUCGAUAGUCAAAAGUUAAAUAUCACCAUAUAUUGUCAGUGAGUUGGUCAUCGUUUGUUGAUGAUUAAAGUGAGAUAGGUGUAGCCAAUGUGCACCAAUGAAAAAUACAAUGGAAUUGAUGGCAACCAUAUUCUUUCGGUUUUCGAUCUGCAUAUGUUGCCACGUAGGCUACCAUACUACAGAAUUAUAUUUAACGAUAUUUAACUGUAUUAGAUCUAUGUUAAUAAACGUAGUGACAAAUAAAUUUCAAUAAAUAUUUAGAGCUGUUUCAACUUCGUCUGGUAUUGUAUAAGCUAUUGCAUUUUGUUUAUUUCCCCAUGUUUCUAAUCUUUGUAAAUGUUAGAACAUAUAUAACUAUCCUGGCAUAUUAAUAUGGAAAAUAUUAAGGUAGAUCUAAGUAUUAAAAAAAAUCACAGUUUUAAUUAGGAUAAAUACCCUAAAGUGUUAACACUUUUAUCACUUAUUGGUGGGCCAAUUCAUAAUUCAUAUUCAACAUUCUUGCUUCAAAUAUGGGAACUAUUUAUUUUAUUUGGCAAUAUAUAUUUUUCAUUUAUGUACAUAUUUUUCAAAUAAGGUUUUAGAAACUUGGCCAUGAUAUCCACUUGAAUCACUAGUUUGAGUGUACAGCAGAAAGGUAAAGUUACUGCUUUUGAAAAACUACAGUUGAUCUGUUGACUGAUAAAACUAUUUGCCAAUAUUACUAUCAGUUACAUCAUACUCUAUUAGUCUAAGUAAAUGGGAUUUAUCUAUACAGUACUGGUUUAUUUAAGAAUGUGAUACUUUGUGGUUUCUGUUUUUCUUUCAGGUGGAGAAAACAGUAUUGUGGGAGCGUAUUUGUUUAAAGUACAUAUCACUGACACAAAGUUACCAAGGCAUAAGGAGAGACUGAGGAUACAGUUGAAGAUCAUCCCUGUGACUUUUCAUUUGAGGACUGAAAAGGCUCCCCAGCAACUCAGCCCAUGUUCUGACUUGUCAUUUAACAAAUAAAUAAAGGUCACCUCAA
Molecule: long non-coding RNA, 1920 nt
Filed under: Haliotis rufescens (red abalone)
Lineage: Eukaryota; Metazoa; Mollusca; Gastropoda; Lepetellida; Haliotidae
Description: uncharacterized LOC125374587
Source: RNAcentral